Molecule: non-coding RNA, 108 nt
Filed under: Symbiodinium sp. CCMP2430
Lineage: Eukaryota; Dinophyceae; Suessiales; Symbiodiniaceae
Source: RNAcentral
UAUAUAGGAGGAAUGAAAAGAGACAAAGCAAAGAAGACAAAAGAAAGAAGGUAAUGAAAUGAAAAGAAAGCACGCUUCUUUCUUUCUCUUCUUUCUUUGUGCUUUUCA